UAAACUCAUACAACAUAAUAUGCCUUAUGCACUGUUCAGACAUCCCAUUUUGUAUAGACUUUAACAGUACAAGAGAUCAUGUACAACUGUUGUUCUCUGCUUCGCAUUACAUGAAGAGCAUGCAGUGUGAUAUGUCUUAUUGUGCCAUUGGUCUAUUUCAUUGUCUGGUCACCAAAAGCAACAAUUCUAUGAGACAUGCAAAAAACGAUAUUACUUAUGGGAUGAACCUGAUUAUGUGAAUUUCUUGCAAGAUUUGCACCUACUGACACAUGCCAAAUGUGAAUCAACUGUUCUCUUGUGUUAUAAAAUUCAAUAAAUAUAUAUGUCUGAAACCACACUUGACAGAUGUUUUUUUUUUAAAAGUUUAAUAAAAUAAUGGUAAAACAAAAAUCUGAAUUAGCUUGUAGGACCAAUAAUUAUAGCAAC
RNAcentral lists this long non-coding RNA (426 nucleotides) under Androctonus crassicauda. Lineage: Eukaryota; Metazoa; Arthropoda; Arachnida; Scorpiones; Buthidae. The record is from RNAcentral.